Molecule: ribosomal RNA, 440 nt
Filed under: uncultured bacterium
Lineage: Bacteria
Description: partial 16S ribosomal RNA
Rfam family: Bacterial small subunit ribosomal RNA
Source: RNAcentral
CCUACGGGAGGCAGCAGUGGGGAAUAUUGCACAAUGGGGGAAACCCUGAUGCAGCGACGCCGCGUGAAGGAUGAAGUAUUUCGGUAUGUAAACUUCUAUUAGCAGGGAAGAAAAUGACGGUACCUGACUAAGAAGCCCCGGCUAACUACGUGCCAGCAGCGGCGGUAAUACGGAGGGGGCAAGCGUUAUCCGGAUUUACUGGGUGUAAAGGGAGCGUAGGCGGCGUUGCAAGUCAGAAGGGAAAGCCCGGGGCGUAACUCCGGGACUGCUUUUGAAACUGUGUUGCUAGAUUGCAGGAGAGGUAAGUGGAAUUCCUAGGGUAGCGGUGAAAUGCGUAGAUAUUAGGAGGAACACCAAUGGCGAAGGCAGCUUACUGGACUGUAAAUGACGCUGAGGCUCGAAAGCGUGGGGAGCAAACAGGAUUAGAUACCCGUGUAGUC